GUCAGAUGGUAUUCUGUCUUUAGUGAAGUGGCGAGCACCAUUACCAGAUCUCAGCUCUGUUGACAGUAUGGUAUUUAAGAAGUACCCAACUUCUGGGUGGUUCUACAGGAAGCAUGGAGUGAAAUCUCUUUUCACAUUACCGCACCACAUUACAUAGUUACAUAGAUACAUAGCUGAAAAGAGACUUGUGUCCAUCAAGUUCAGCCUUCCUCACAUAAGGUUUUUGCUGUUGAUC
This is a non-coding RNA of Pelobates cultripes (western spadefoot toad), 235 nucleotides long. The record is from the annotation of a GenBank genome assembly. Lineage: Eukaryota; Metazoa; Chordata; Amphibia; Anura; Pelobatidae.